CCAAGAUCCGAACCCACAAACCCAGACCACUACAGCAGAGCAUGCAGGACUUUAACCACUUGGUGACGAAGCCAGGCCGAAUUUUUUGUUUUUUUUUUUUUACUUUACGACUAUGCAUAGACCACAGGCUGAUAAAUUUCUCCUUCAUUCUCUUUGAAUGGGGCAAUUCCCACUCAGCUGGCUAUUUUCCCCAGAAUAGUAUAGGAGGAAUAUUUUUGACUGUCUUCCUUAUUAACUCAAAAAGUCCCUUCAGCCUCCUCCCUUAGGAAUUGAGUGAAAAGUUGGAUGUUGGAUGAAGAAUUUAUCUGAGAGGAAAUUUCUGGGGCUUGGGGAAUAUUCGACUGUGGAAUUCUGUUUCUGAGUUUCUCCGUGAACGCAGGAACAUCUUCAUUGUUUUUUAGUGUAUGCUUUAUGCUUUCAAGUUUGGGGAAUGUCCACGUCUUGGAUUUCAGCACAUAGUCACUUGUCAGUUGCCCACUUUGGUGAGAAGAUGAGUAGCAAUGAAUCAUCUCCUUCUUCUUUUUGGUGGAUAGCUGUAUAAUUUCUCCUGAAUUGGGCCUAUUGCUGAAAAGUCAGCUCACGUCCGUAUAUCAUCUCUCCUGUUUGGAAGCUGGACCAGAGAAGACAAUGGUAAAGUUUCCCCUGUGCCAUCCAACUUCCCCACUCACCAUCUUGUUUCGGGGACCAUCCUGUGAAGGCACAGCAUAAACCUCGAAGAGGGAUGUUUCAAGCAUUAGUCAGGGAGCAAGGAUGACUCUGUGGCCCUUCAAGGUGUCUGUGAAACCAAGGCAAUGAGAAAGUAUGUGCGGGAGACAUCUGCAUGGGCACACCCCAAUAACCUGGAAAUAAGGGAAAUAUGAUUGCCUUCUGGCACUUAUACUGUGAAGUCAACACAAAAUGGGUCAUAGCAGAGUCCUGCAGAGCCGCCUUAAGGAAGUGAAAUGCCUUCCAGGUUUUGUCUGGGUGGCCAAAGGAACCAAGAGGAUUAUCUGUACUCUGAAGUCACACUUUUCCCAAAUAUCCCAUGGUAAGGACUUAUUCUGCAGUUACCUCCACUGUCUGCCGGCUUGCCUGUAAAAAGGAGGAGAAAUUGCAGAAAAGCAUGAACAGGCUGGAGGCAGCAGAGAGGAGUAGAAAUAACAGGGGCCUGAACAACGGAAGUUUUGGGUUCUCAGUCUGAUGAUAUGCUCACUGUCACCCCAAACUACCACAUCUUCGAGUCGUUGCUCCAUGUAGAGUGCUCCUCUCCCUGAAAGCGUAGACGAGAGACAUGGAGUAAAGUGUGGGCUCUGGAGCCACUGCCAGGACUGGAAGCCUCGUUCUACCCCUUUCUAGCUGUGUGAUCAUGGGAACAUUAGAAAACCGCUCCUUGCUCCUAUUCCCUAACCUGUAAAAGAUAACCAUAAUUAAACAUACCUUCCUGGUACGUUGUGAGGACUUAAUGCACAAAUUCAUAUAAAGUUCUUUGAAGAGUACCUGCAUUAUGACAAUGCUCAAAAAUGUUAGCAUUUAUUAUAAUUAGACCCCUCCUCCAUUCCAAAAUGCCCCUCAUUGCACGCUUAGCGAGCUCCUACUAAUCCUUCAAGUUUCUGCUUAAAUGUUUCCUCCUCUAAGAAGCCUUCCACAGCCAUCCCUUCCUCUCCCUAAACAGGGUUGAUACUUCCCCUUCUCUGAGGCUGUGCUAGGCACUGUUAAUACAGAGUUGCCUAAGAGUUAGCCACUGUCCCCACAUUGCACACAGUCUAGGAAGACAUGACAAGCUCUGUAAUAAGGUAGCACUCAGCACCAAGGAGGUUUCCUGCUCAGAGGUCGGUCAUUUCUCAAACUGUAUAAAACCCAAGGGCAACCUCUGAGACUGUAUUAGCUGUGUCUAGUUUUUCCUCUCUUUUCUUUUUCUCCACUUUGGUUCAUUCCCCAAACUUUCAUUUUACUUUCCAGUCUCCCUUCCUUUUUUCUCUUACCCUUCUUUCCUGUCUCUUGGGUUUUAUUCUCUCCUUUUCUCUCACUGGAUCUGCACUGCUUGUGGAAGAAGGAGAGCGCCUGGGGCAGUCUUCCUAGAAGAGAUAGUACACAAACUGAUCCUCAAGGCAGAGGGAGAUUUAGAUAAGGAACCGAGGAGUAAGGGGCACAGAUGGAGCAGGAAGGAACAGGCAGAAGGAACAUCAAAUGUGAGGUGUCUGAGAAGAAGGCAUGAAGGAAAGCACGUGCAACGAUGGUAUUUACUGAAAAAUGCAUGAAUUUCAGGCAACUCUGGGAUGUCCCAAGGUGAAGUGGGAUUGAUGAGAGAGGGGGUAAUUCGGGCAUUCCACAAUACGAUUGGAUUGUAUUCUCUAUGGGAUGGGUUCUAAAUUGAGAUUCUAAGGAAGAAGUUGACAUGAUUCUCUUUUCACGUUAGAAAGAUCACUGUGUGUAGGAUGGAUUGAAGGAGACUAGCUUGAUUCAGGCCAUGAAGUUAUGCUACUGAAACCAUCUGAGCAAGAGGUGCUGAUACGUCGAGGAUGUUGGCAAGAUGGUGCAGUGGUUAAGCAUGUAAGCUCUGCUUGUUCCCUGGGUUCUGCCAUUCAUAGAUGCCAAGCAAAGAGGUGACUGUCAAUGUCUCACACUCCCCACCAAACUUCUUAACACUUGAAAAAUGGGCUUUUGUUUCAGGUGGUCAACUCCUUACCAUAAAGAAACAAAGAAUCAGAGAUCUGCACAAUAGUUUACCAUCUGAGUUCAUAGGUAAGAAACACGAGGCCUACAUAUUUAUUUAUUCAUUUAUUGAUUCAAUAUACUUGUACUGAAAGCCUGCUAUGUGUCAGGCACUGGAUGAGAGUGGCAUAUCAGAGACCAAGACAGACAAAGUUCUUGUUCUCUUAGAGUCCACAUUAGUGAUGGUAAAGCACACAAGAAACACAUGAAUGUAAAUUAUUAUAUCAAGUAGUGAUACAUGCUAUGAAACAAUAAAGGUAAGGGGAUAGAGUUUGAUUAGAGAGGCAAAUUUGUAUAAGAUAGACAGGCAAGGCACCUAUGAGAAGGAGAAAUUUGAUCUUGAAUGAAGUAAGAGAGACAGCCAUGCAAAUGUUGGGAAGGAGUGUUCCAGACUGAAGGAAUGGCAGGUGCAAAGGGCCUGAGGCAGGAGCAUACCUGGUUCCAUGAGGAUCAGCAAAGAGGCCAGUGUGGCUGGAGCAGAAGGGUCAGGGUAGAGGGUAGCAGGAGAAUAGUCAAUGAGAUAGAUGCCGGAUCAUGAGACACCUUCUAGACCAGUGGCUUGCAUUUAUUUUUUAAGUGUCACGGGAGGCCAUUGGAAUAACAACAACAAAAUCAUAUGAUUUGACAUGACAUAUGUUAAUGGAUUACUUUCGUUGCUUAUGGAAAAUAGACUUGCAGAGCAUAACGGAUAGAGGAAACUCUAUUUGGAGUUUAUUAUAGUAGUCAAGGGAGAAAUUGUGGCAGAUUGGACUAGGGCUAUGUGUGGAAAUAGUGAGAAGAGGUAGGAUUCCAGAUGUAUUGUUGAAGAUGGUCCUGACAGAAUUUGUUAUUAGCAUUGAUAUGGAGUGGGAGAAACAGAGAGAAGAAUUAAGGAUAAUUCCAGGGUUUGUUCUGAGCUACUAGAUAAAAGUGGUGGUGCUUUAAGUUUGAGGGGGAAAUUUAAAAGGAGUUCAGUUUUAGACGUGACAAAUUUGAGAUGCCUAGUAGAUACCCCCGUGACGAUGAUAAGUAGGCAGGUGGGCAUACAAAUUUGGGGCUCAGUAAAGAGGUUAGGAAUGCAGAUGCAAAUGCAAAUUUGGGAGUCACUACCAAAUAUUGAGUCGGGGCACUGGAUAUGAGCACAGAUGGAGAAAAGAAGUUCUAAGGACUGAAUCCAGUACUAUUCUGACAGUUUGAAGUUGAAAAAAGGAAGAAAAUCUAGCAAAAGUAACUAAGAAGCAACCAGUAACAGAGGGGGAAAUGGAGGAGAGUGAAGAAAGUUUCAAGAAGGGAGUAGAUUAUAAAAAUGUUAGUGUGAAAUGAGGCUUUUCCCUCCCCUGUCAUAAAUCAUGUAAUACCAACAAGGAGGAUGAAAAAAAAGCUGUAAACCGCAUCUUUAAGGGAACUAGCGGACAGCUGCAACCACAAAACAGGUCAAAGGGUGCCAAAUGCAUUGCCAUAUUGGUCAGGACUGUGGGAGAAAGCAGAAAGGUGAAACCCAUGGCUGAGUAUCUCAGAAAAAGCAAUCAGAGUGCACUUGUCAGGGAGGGGACAAGCACGUCCCAAGGAAGGGACACGCUGAGGCGCAUACCCAGGUCCCUGGACACACAUCCAGCAAUGGGAGCUCCCUCAGAGGCUGUUUGAUCAAGAAACCCUAGGGGCAGAACUGAAAGAGAAAUCGCUCAAGGAGCACAGGGAAGCAGAGGAGCUUUACAUUUUGAACAGUCCUGCAUAUGCCUGUCUCUCUUCUGCAGAAAGAAAUAAAGGCUAAAAGAACUCACAAACACAACACUGGACCAUAAGGAAACUCCUGCUAACCUUGAGAAUUUCUCUGUUCCUUCACCACAACCAGGUCCUGCAAACGGCUGGUGCAGGAAAAAGUCAACUGCUUAAGAUAAAUCAUCAAAAAGGUACCUUAUAGCAUAAGCACUAUAUGGAAACUAGAAGAAAGGAACAAACAACAACAACAAAAGAAUGGAACAGAGAAAACACAUGGCAUAUAAGGAACACUCAUCAGAAAAACAUAGCUACAGAGAAAAUGAAAAUCGUGAUCAAACAUUGCAUUGUAAUGUGGUGGUACUGUAGAUUGGCUAAUUCAAUGUCCACUCCACUCUCUUCCAGCCUUUCUAGCUGGCUGAGAAACACAAAGUAUCAUUUCUCAGACUCCUCUGUAGCUAGAGUUCUGCCUAUGACAAAGAUCCACUAAGCAAAAUCACCCACCUGUGAUUUCUAGAAGGAAGGAAAUAAUGGGAUCCACAUACGGAGAAGCUGAUCUUGUGUCAAGCACAGGGAGUGAGGCUGUGGUUCUGUGACGCUGGGGCAGUUUCUAGUGUAUGGUCCCCAGUGUCUUAGGCACUGAGCAAGGGAGAUAGCAGCAAUCGGUUCCUGCUAGAACAUUGCCAGAGUGUGGUUGGGCACUCUCCUGGUUGUGCAGUACCCAAGCCUGGUUCCCUAGCUCUCCAGGAGAUUUCAUGAGCUACCAGAUAUCCCUUAAUAAACUCCUUUGGCUUUAACCAUCUAGUGUAAGUUCUGUUUCCUGCAAGUAAACACACUGAGCCAUAGUCAUAGAUUUAAAAAAGAGAAAGCCUAACGAAACAAUUGCCGCUGUUUAACAAAUGCACAAAGCAAAAUACACAAAAGUGAGGAAUAGAUAAUGAUAAAACAGAAAGACAUAAAACAUGAGCUGCAAAGAUCAAGAAAGGGAAAACAUAAAUGAAGGUCAAAUUUGAUAUAAAUGCUAUCAAGUCAUAUAUACAUAGCGCAUUUUAGUUUUCCAUUCAUCUGUCAGUGGACACUUAGGUUGUCUCCAGGUCUUGGCUAUUAUGAAUAAUGCUGCAAUGAAAAUGGGGGCGCAGAUAAUCUCUUUGAGAUAGUUAUUUCUUUCAGAUAUAUACCCAGAAGUGGCGAUUGCUGGAUCAUAUGGUACUUCUACUUUUAAUUUUUUGAGGAACCUCUGUACUCCAUAAUGGCUGCACCAAUUUACAUUCCCAUCAACAAUGCACAAGUGUUGCCUUCUCCCCACAGCCUCGCGUACACUUGUUGCCUCUUUGUGAUAAUUGUUAUUCUAACAGGUGUGGGGUGAUAGCUCAUUGUGGUUUGGAUUUGCAUUUCCACUAAUGAUAACAUUAGUGAUCUUGAGAAUCUUUUCACGAACCUGUUGGCUAUUUGUACAUCUUCUUUGGAAAAUGUCUAUUCAAAUCCUUUCCCCAUUUUUAAAUUAGAUUGUUUGGUUUUGUUGCUAUGGAGUUGUAUGAAAUCCUUAUAUAUUUUAAAUACUAACCCUUUAUCAGAUAGAUGGUUUGCAAAUAUUUUUUCCCAUUCCACAGAUUGCCUUUUCAUUUUUUUAUUGUGUCUUUUGCUGUUCAGAGGGAUUUUGUUUUGUUUUUUGGGGGGGGAAGAUUAGCCCUGAGCUAACAUCUGCUGCCAAUCCUCCUCUUUUUGCUGAGGAAGACUGGCCUUGAGCUAACAUCCGUGACCAUCUUUCUCUACUUUAUAUGUGGGACGCCUACCACAGGAUGGCUGGCCAAGAGGUGCCAUGUCUGCACCCAGGAUCCUAACCAGCAAACCCUGGGCCAACAAAGCAGAGCAUGCGCACUCAACAGCUGCACCACCAGGCUGGCCCCUGUUCAGAAGGUUUUUAAUUUGAUGUAGUCCCGUUUAUUUAUUUUUGCUCUUGUUGCUUGUACUUUUGGUACCAUAUCCAAAAAAAUCAUUGCCGAGAUGAAUGUCAAGGAGCUUUUUUCCUAUGUUUUUUUCUAGGAUGUUUACAGUUUCCGGUCUUAUGUUUAGUCUUUAAUACAUUUCGAGUUACUUUUUGUGAGUGGUGUAAGAUAGGGGCCCAAUUUCGUUCUUUUGCAUGCGAUUAUCCAGUUUUCCCAAUACCAUUUAUUGAAGAUACUAUCCUUUCCCCAUUGAGUCCCUUGACUCCUUUGUCAAAUAUUAGCUGACUGUAUAUGCAAGGGUUACUUUCUGUGUUCUCUAUUCCAUUCCAUUGGUGCACGUAUCUGGUUUUAUGCCUGUACCAUACUGCUUUGAUUCCCAUAGCUUUGUAAUACAGUUCGAGAACAGGAAGCGUGACUCCUCCACCUUUGUUCUUUCUCAAGAUUCCUCCUUGCUCAAGAUUGCUUUGGCUUUUCACGUUUUUUUGUGGUUCCAUACAAAUCUUAGGAUUGUGUUUUCUAUUUCUGGGAAAAUGUCAUUGUAAUUUUGAUAGGGAUGGAAUUGAAUUUAUAGAUGGUUUUGGGUAGUUGGACAUUUUAACAAUAUUAAUUUUUCUGAUCCAUUAACAUGGAUCAUCUUUCCGUUUAUUUGUGUCUUGUUCAAUUUCUUUAUCAAAGUCUUGUAAUUUUCAGUAUACAGACUUUCAUACCCCUGGUUAAAUUUAUUCCUAAAUAUUUUAUUUUUUAUGCUAUUGUAAAUAGGAC
Molecule: long non-coding RNA, 7094 nt
Filed under: Equus asinus (donkey)
Lineage: Eukaryota; Metazoa; Chordata; Mammalia; Perissodactyla; Equidae
Description: lncRNA (ENSEASG00005031456.1)
Source: RNAcentral